Molecule: ribosomal RNA, 465 nt
Filed under: Vreelandella stevensii
Lineage: Bacteria; Pseudomonadati; Pseudomonadota; Gammaproteobacteria; Oceanospirillales; Halomonadaceae
Description: partial 16S ribosomal RNA
Rfam family: Bacterial small subunit ribosomal RNA
Source: RNAcentral
CCUACGGGAGGCAGCAGUGGGGAAUAUUGGACAAUGGGGGCGACCCUGAUCCAGCCAUGCCGCGUGUGUGAAGAAGGCCCUCGGGUUGUAAAGCACUUUCAGUGAGGAAGAACGCCUGGUGGUUAAUACCCAUCAGGAAAGACAUCACUCACAGAAGAAGCACCGGCUAACUCCGUGCCAGCAGCCGCGGUAAUACGGAGGGUGCGAGCGUUAAUCGGAAUUACUGGGCGUAAAGCGCGCGUAGGUGGCUUGAUAAGCCGGUUGUGAAAGCCCCGGGCUCAACCUGGGAACGGCAUCCGGAACUGUCAAGCUAGAGUGCAGGAGAGGAAGGUAGAAUUCCCGGUGUAGCGGUGAAAUGCGUAGAGAUCGGGAGGAAUACCAGUGGCGAAGGCGGCCUUCUGGACUGACACUGACACUGAGGUGCGAAAGCGUGGGUAGCAAACAGGAUUAGAUACCCCUGUAGUC